ACACAAUGAUUUUCAGACAACUGCCCAUUCGCCAAUUCCAACCACCUCGGCCCACUGCCCAAAUCCAACGUUUCUGGUCUCCGGGCGGCGCUGCCUUAGCAGGAUCCGCCGCCAGGUGGCGCGCUCCCCCCGCCCGGAGUGGGUUUUGUUCCAUCCCGGACUUAGAUCUUCCAAGACGGCGAUUUCCUUCUGGUCGGGUCUCUUCCCGAGGAUCCGCUUUACUCGUACUAGAAACUCUGACCUCGAAUGCAGUUCCAGAAGCAGAACCCUGUAGGGGGUUUCAGGCGGCCAAGAAGGGAAGUGGUUCUCCUAAGACCGUCCCGGCUUCAGUCCACGGCGCUCACUAAAUGCCUCCCACGCCAGACGAGGUCCCCCGUCCCCGGAGCUCGCGUCCCAGAGUUGUAGCCUCCCUUCAGGAUGUGGAUUCACAUGCAACAUGAGUGAGAUGAAAACUCACUAUGCUGCCCAGACUCGUCUCGAACUCCUGGGUGUCACGCGUGUCCGUAUAGAAGACCACCUAAACAGGCUUUGUGUUCACGUGUUGAAAUCCUAACUCCAAAUAUGAUGAUAGGAGGAGAUGGGGCCUUCGGGAGGUGAUGAGGUCAUGAGGGUGGAAUCCUCAUGAAUGGUCUCAACGCCCUUAGAAAAGAGACCCCAGAGACCUCGCUCCCGCUUUCUACUGUGGGAGAAUGCAGCAAGAAGUCAGCCGUCUAUGAACAAGGAAGCAGGUCCUCUCCAGGCACUGAAUGUACCAGUGCCUUGAUCUUGGACUUCCCAGCCUCCAGAACUAUGACAAUAAAUUCUGUUGUUUAAGCUACAUGGUCUAUGAUACUUUUGUUAAAGAAGCCCAAAGUGACUAAGACAGGCAUCAAACAAUAUAUUGUCCUUUGUGAUGGAUCCUUUCACUUUGCAUAAUGUUUUCAAGGUCUAUCCAUUUUAUACCACAUAACAGCACCUCCUUUGCUUUCAUGGCUGAAUAAUAUUCCAC
This 988-nucleotide long non-coding RNA is filed under the name Homo sapiens (human). Its description in RNAcentral is "HSALNT0261110". The record is from RNAcentral. Lineage: Eukaryota; Metazoa; Chordata; Mammalia; Primates; Hominidae.